This 492-nucleotide ribosomal RNA is filed under the name uncultured bacterium. RNAcentral describes it as "partial 16S ribosomal RNA". It matches the Rfam family "Bacterial small subunit ribosomal RNA", at positions 29 to 507 of the family's 1533-position model. The record is from RNAcentral.
AGUGAACGCUGGCGGUAGGCCUAACACAUGCAAGUCGGACGGCAGCACAGUAAGAGCUUGCUCUUACGGGUGGCGAGUGGCGGACGGGUGAGGAAUACAUCGGAAUCUACUUUUUCGUGGGGGAUAACGUAGGGAAACUUACGCUAAUACCGCAUACGACCUACGGGUUAAAGCAGGGGAUCUUCGGACCUUUCGCGAUUGAAUGAGCCGAUUUCGGAUUAGCUAGUUGGCGGGGUAAAGGCCCACCAAGGCGACGACCCGUAGCGUGUCUGAGAGGAUGAUCAGCCACACUGGAACUGAGACACGGUCCAGACUCCUACGGGAGGCAGCAGUGGGGAAUAUUGGACAAUGGGCGCAAGCCUGAUCCAGCCAUACCGCGUGGGUGAAGAAGGCCUUCGGGUUGUAAAGCCCUUUUGUUGGGAAAGAAAAGCGGCAGGUUAAUACCCCGCUGUUCUGACGGUACCCAAAGAAUAAGCACCGGCUAACUUCGUG